Molecule: ribosomal RNA, 395 nt
Filed under: uncultured bacterium
Lineage: Bacteria
Description: partial 16S ribosomal RNA
Rfam family: Bacterial small subunit ribosomal RNA
Source: RNAcentral
AUACGUAGGUGGCAAGCGUUGUCCGGAUUUACUGGGUGUAAAGGGCGUGUAGGUGGGUUGUCAAGUCUGAUGUGAAAGGCCGGGGCUCAACCCCGGGACUGCAUUGGAAACUGUCAGGCUAGAGUGCAGGAGGGGUAAGCGGAAUUCCUAGUGUAGCGGUGAAAUGCGUAGAUAUUAGGAGGAACACCGGUGGCGAAGGCGGCUUUCUGGACUGUAACGGACGCUGAGGCACGAAAGCGGGGGGAGCAAACAGGAUUAGAUCCCCUGGUAGUCCACGCCGUAAACGAUGGAUACUGGGUGUAGGGGUCAAAAGACUUCUGUGCCGCAGCAAACGCAUUAAGUAUCCCGCCUGGGGAGUACGGCCGCAAGGCUGAAACUCAAAUGAAUUGGCGGGG